This 2592-nucleotide ribosomal RNA is filed under the name Clostridioides difficile. RNAcentral describes it as "bacterial LSU rRNA". It matches the Rfam family "Bacterial large subunit ribosomal RNA", at positions 3 to 2617 of the family's 2925-position model. The record is from RNAcentral. Lineage: Bacteria; Bacillati; Bacillota; Clostridia; Peptostreptococcales; Peptostreptococcaceae.
UCAAGUUAUUAAGGGUGCAGGGCGGAUGCCUUGGCACUAGGAGCCGAUGAAGGACGUGAUAAGCUGCGAUAAGCUUCGGGGAGUUGCACGUAAACUUUGAUCCGAAGAUUUCCGAAUGAGGAAACUCACUUAGAGUAAUGUCUAAGUAUCAUUAAGUGAAUACAUAGCUUAAUGAGGGGAACUCAGGGAACUGAAACAUCUAAGUACCUGAAGGAAGAGAAAGAAAUUCGAUUCCGUAAGUAGCGGCGAGCGAACGCGGAUUAGCCCAAACCAAUAAAGUUUUCUUUAUUGGGGUUGCGGACAUAUCAUAACGAAGAGGUAUCGUAAUUGAAGAGGUUUGGAAAGACCCACCACAGAAGGUAAUAGUCCUGUAUGUUAAACGAGAAGACUUUAGAUAUGAUCCAGAGUACCACGGGACACGUGAAACCCUGUGGGAAGCAGGAGGGACCACCCUCCAAGGCUAAAUACUACCUAGUGACCGAUAGCGUAUAGUACCGUGAGGGAAAGGUGAAAAGAACCCCGGGAGGGGAGUGAAAUAGAACCUGAAACCCUGCACUUACAAGCUGUGGAAGCACAUUUCUUGUGUGACCGCGUACUUUUUGUAGAACGGGCCAACGAGUUACGUUAAGUAGCAAGGUUAAGCACUUAAGGUGCGGAGCCGUAGCGAAAGCGAGUUUUAACUGAGCGUUCAGUUACUUGACGUAGACCCGAAACCGGGCGACCUACCCAUGAGCAGGAUGAAGCGAAAGUAAAAUUUCGUGGAGGUCCGAACCCACGAGCGUUGAAAAGCUCGGGGAUGACUUGUGGGUAGCGGUGAAAUUCCAAUCGAGCCCGGAGAUAGCUGGUUCUCCCCGAAAUAGCUUUAGGGCUAGCCUCAAGGUGAGAGAUACGGAGGUAGAGCACUGAAUGUCCUAGGGGGUAUUGCACCUACCGAAGACUAUCAAACUCCGAAUGCCGUCAUCUUAUACUUGGGAGUCAGACUGUGGGUGAUAAGAUUCAUAGUCGAAAGGGCAACAGCCCAGAUCGUCAGCUAAGGUCCCUAAAUGUAAGUUAAGUGGUAAAGGAUGUGGGAUUGCACAGACAACCAGGAUGUUGGCUUAGAAGCAGCCACUCAUUCAAAGAGUGCGUAAUAGCUCACUGGUCGAGUGAUCCUGCGCCGAAGAUUUCCGGGGCUAAAACUUACUACCGAAGCUACGGCAUCAGUAAUGAUGGGUAGGGGAGCUUCCCAUACGGGUUGAAGCAUGACCGUAAGGACAUGUGGACAGUAUGGGAGUGAGAAUGUUGGCAUGAGUAGCGAGAUGUGGGUGAGAAUCCCACAGGCCGUAAACCCAAGGUUUCCAGGGGAAGGUUCGUCCGCCCUGGGUUAGUCGGGACCUAAGCUGAGGCCGAAAGGCGUAGGUGAUGGACAACAGGUUGAUAUUCCUGUACUACCGAUAACCGUUUGAGAGAAGGGAUGACACAGUAGGAUAAGCUAAGCACACUGUUGGUUAUGUGUGCCCAAGCAUUGAGGCAGUCAAAGUAGGCAAAUCCGCUUUGAUAAUGCUGGGAUGUGAUGGGGAGCGAAAUUUAGUAGCGAAGUAGCUGAUUUCACACUGUCAAGAAAAGUCUCUAUCGAGGUUAAAGGUACCCGUACCGCAAACCGACACAGGUGGGUGAGGAGAGUAUCCUAAGGCCAGCGAGAGAACUGUUGUUAAGGAACUCGGCAAAAUGACCCCGUAACUUAGGGAUAAGGGGUGCCACCAUCAGGUGGCCGCAGAGAAUAGGCCCAAGCGACUGUUUACCAAAAACAUAGGUUUCUGCUAAGUCGCAAGACGAUGUAUAGGAGCUGACGCCUGCCCGGUGCUGGAAGGUUAAGGGGAUCUGUUAGAGCAAUCGAAGCAGUGAACUUAAGCCCCAGUAAACGGCGGCCGUAACUAUAACGGUCCUAAGGUAGCGAAAUUCCUUGUCGGGUAAGUUCCGACCCGCACGAAAGGCGUAACGAUUUGGGCACUGUCUCAACAACAGACUCGGUGAAAUUGUAAUUCCGGUGAAGAUGCCGGAUACCUGCGACAGGACGGAAAGACCCCAUGGAGCUUUACUGUAGCUUGACAUUGGGUCUUGGUACUACAUGUACAGGAUAGGUGGGAGGCUUUGAAACCAGGACGCCAGUUUUGGCGGAGCCAUCCUUGGGAUACCACCCUUGUAGUACUGGGACUCUAACCAUAGGCCAUGAAUCUGGUCUUGGGACACUGUCAGGUGGGCAGUUUGACUGGGGCGGUCGCCUCCCAAAAGGUAACGGAGGCGCUCAAAGGUUCUCUCAGUACGGUCGGAAAUCGUACGUAGAGUGUAAAGGCAAAAGAGAGCUUGAUUGCAAGACAUACAGGUCGAGCAAGGAUGAAAAUCGGACUUAGUGAUCCGGUGGUUCUGCGUGGAAGGGCCAUCGCUCAACGGAUAAAAGCUACCCUGGGGAUAACAGGCUUAUCUCCCCCAAGAGUCCACAUCGACGGGGAGGUUUGGCACCUCGAUGUCGGCUCAUCACAUCCUGGGGCUGUAGUAGGUCCCAAGGGUUGGGCUGUUCGCCCAUUAAAGUGGUACGCGAGCUGGGUUCAGAAC